RNAcentral lists this long non-coding RNA (1390 nucleotides) under Heterocephalus glaber (naked mole-rat). RNAcentral describes it as "lncRNA (ENSHGLG00000047317.1)". The record is from RNAcentral. Lineage: Eukaryota; Metazoa; Chordata; Mammalia; Rodentia; Bathyergidae.
GACAUUUAAUUGAUUAAAUCUCGCUUGAACCCCGCUGAUAUAAAGAUUUUGAUUAAGUUACUUUCUGUUCUGUUUAGGUGUGGGUAAAUAAGGGGACAAUUGUAAUUUUUAAGUAUGUAUUCAUGAUGUUCAAUGAAAUGACACAGCUUAGAGGAAUUGUACUUUGUCUAGCCAAAAAUAAUCUUUACUUCAAUAGAAAUUGCUAAGGCAGCUUAAAAUGUAAACAUGUUCCGCCCAAUGCCUCCCAGCUAUUGCUUAAAGAUAUAAAAAUAAAGUAGACCCUGAGGCUUCUCAGAGGGAACCUGGACAUUGCUUGCGGAGGUUCUUUCUCAUCGCCGGCCCAGGACAUCUCCCCUUCCUACCCUACAUCGACUGCAGCUGGUCUGCGGCAAGAGGGUUCUUCAGCAAGUCCACUUCCUCAGUCGAUGAUGUUUGGUGGUCGAGACAACUUCCAGGAGCAGCUGGAGAUGCAGGGUGGCUCUCUGCAAAAACUUGGGUUGGCACUGGAAGUAGACAAACAGGAAGUAUGCCAGGAAGCCACUGAGCAGGAACAAGAAAACAUACAGGAACUCCGUCUGGGGGUGGUCGAGGAUGGGCGCCAGCACCAGCUGCAUAGCACACACGGCCGCCACUGAAGAACACCACAUUGGCAGAACCAAUGGUAUCAGCCAGGCCCAGGACCCCCAGAACCUGGUCCCUAGGACAGCAGAGCAAUCAAGGGAAGGGAUUCCGCUGCAACCCAGCAGCUGGUCACAAAUUGAAAGUGGAGCAAGCAGCACAAUCAAAGGAAAAGUAGCUUCCAGAUCUCUCUGCCAGGACUGAGGUCGCCCACGGAAAACCCUGGAGGAGGAGAGACUGAGGGAGGAGGGCACAUGGAGGGCGGAAGCGAGGCAUCUCAGGACCUACUGCAGGUCCCCAAGUCCAGUCCCAGUGAUGACGCUGCCUCACUCUCCUUCAGCUUUUUGGGGAUACCACGUACAUCGCCCUUCUGGGCCCCAGGGUCAAGCUGAUGCUGCGUCUACGGAGCUGUGUUUCCGCGCAGCAUGUGGGCCUUCCAAACCUCGUCGGACUGCUCAGCCUUGUUCCUUACCCUCCCCCACCCGAGCGGGCAAAUUAGCGAAAGUGAAGCAAACAGGACGGCAAUGUUCUCUCAGGUCCCUUCCAGAACCAAAACCCCAGAAUCUGAGUGCCAAGGAAAUUGCUCUACCAGAGCAGGGUUCCUCAUCACCCCAGCCCUGGAAUCUGGCUCUGCCAAGAUCCAGAUGAGGCCACCUGGGUGUUCAGCGCUCUCCUCCACCGGCCUCGCUUAUGGGCCCUCGGCAAGGUGAGCUCCACAUGCGUGGCCAGCCCCACUGGUCGGAGGCCAAGCCUGGGAGGUUUCUGAACGCGC